This is a non-coding RNA of Manis javanica (Malayan pangolin), 1741 nucleotides long. NCBI's taxonomy places the organism in Eukaryota, Metazoa, Chordata, Mammalia, Pholidota, Manidae. The record is from RefSeq and is a predicted model, not a curated record.
CUUGGAGUGAUAAUGACAUGCCAACUGAAGGGUCAUUGGCUGUAAUAAAUGUGAGCAGAAAGCAGUUUCACACCCAGAGUCUAUGCUCACACCCAAGUCCAGCAGGAGGGACAACAUGGCCAGUCCUGUGGCAAGACGGCAAUGCCAGUGAAAGAGCAUCAGUUUGAAAGCCCAGUGGUUCAGGAUUCAAAUUCUGGCUGAGCUAUUCCCUGGCUGAGUAAUACCCUUGAGAAAGAAACUGAAUCUUUAAGAGGUGAAAUAACUUGUCCAAGGUUGCAAAGCUGAUUGGCAGCUAAGCUGGAACUCAAAUCAUUUUCUACUGAUGUCUUACAUUGGAAGGAAGGAAGGGAGGGAGAGAGGGCAAUGAAGACAUGUGAUUUUUAAACGCCUAAAAAUAGCUAUCAGUUUUCAGAAGAUUAUCAUGCAAGACCUAAGCUUUAAUAUACUUUAUUGAACACUCAAACUGUGCCAAGAAUUUGACCGUAUCACAUUUAUCUUCGUGGCUGGCCUACAAGUUUGGGAUGAUUAUUCUGUCUCACAUUUCAGAAGGAAGGUAAGUGUUUGAGUCGGGAGUUAGAUCAGGUUUCUGGGAUGUUAAUGCACAGGCUUGUUCUAACUACCUGCUGCAUGGCUUAUGCUCAGGCACAGGAUUUAGUCCCUGCAGCGAUUAGGAUACAAAGCAGCAAAAUGAGACUAAACCUGAGAGGCAACCGAAACCUAGUCCUGCGGUGGAGCCAGGAGGCCUGGGCAAGAGGAAAGAGCUGCUUUGGAAGGACUUGCCUGUAUGGAGGACAUACUCUUGACCUCCCACCUUCCUGUUUGCUAGUUCUUUACUCAUUAUUCUUUCUGGAAUCUCUGGUCACAAGACCCAGGCCAGGAGAAACUGCCAAGACAUGCCUGCCACGGCUGGGGCCCCACUCUCAGACUCAGUCUGAUGAAGGGGAUUUGAGGUGAAGCCCCGCCAGAUGGUUUCAAGAUGCUAUUUGCUCCUUGGUUUAGUUGGGCUGCUCAGAUUUCACUGUUGCCACCCUCCCUUAUUUUUUCCGAAAGCAACGUUUCCCCAUUGAGAAUGAUAUAUGCAACAAGGGGGUGGUGGUGGCAUAUGGGGGGAAUUGAAUGGUCAGUUGCCACUUGUUUUGCAUAUUCAUUUGCAGAAGAAAGAACUGUAGAGCUGUGACAAAAUAGGGGCACUGCAGCCAGAGAAUACCAUGUGGGAACUUUGAUUCCACCACACUUACUAGCUGGGUGACUUUGUAGACUUACGUAGCCUCUGUUACCAUCUAUACAAUAGCCAUAAUCAGGGAAGGGGGCUGAAGCCAGUGGUUCCACUGUGGUAGGGCACGGACACGGGACAGGCAUCACGAUUAAUAUUUCCUGCCUUGAUGAAGAAUGCCGAGAUAUAAACAGUAAAGUAAGAACAGUAGGGACUCCAUCUUAAGGCUAAUAUUCCAUUUUAAAAACCAAGGAGUUAGGAGAUAAGAUUUCUCACAUACUCUUUGAUAAUCAGCCAACAACCGACCCUAUCUUAAGGCAGGGAAAGUAGUCCUAACUGAUAUGUUCCCGGUGCUUGAGGGUAGCCACUAUCUUGGAGAAGAACAGGAUGAAUAUAUUCCUUGUGUUAAGUUUAUUUUACAGAAUUAUUCAGAAGACGGACUGUGGAUAAUGUUGUAAUAUCUUUCAGCAGAGAGAGACAUCUUGAGACCACAAGUCAAGCCUAUGCCCAAUAGCCCUUUGCCCCAUU